Gavia stellata (red-throated loon) is the source of this 168-nucleotide long non-coding RNA. RefSeq lists it as uncharacterized. NCBI's taxonomy places the organism in Eukaryota, Metazoa, Chordata, Aves, Gaviiformes, Gaviidae. The record is from RefSeq and is a predicted model, not a curated record. The transcript has 3 exons.
UGUUGCUCUGAGCAUCAGCAUGUCUAAAGGUGCAGGUGGCAGCGUGGAUUUUGGGAUGCUUAAGGUCCUGGAUGAUGCAAAGCAAGUGCUGACUCUGAAGAACCAAGGGAAGUACGAGAUUGCGUGCAGUUUCAAGCUGGAAACCAUGGAUACCGACAUACGCGACUU